AAAAAGAUAAUCAUUAAAAUUCUCAAAAAAUGAUAAAUAUUUGGGCAUCAUGACUCUAAUAAUUGUAGCCAUUGAUCUAUUAUAUUUCUAAAAAAAAUUACCCAUGACUACCAUUAUGAAAAUAUGCUAAAGUAACACCUAAACCUAUAUUUAAAUUAUCCACCUCUACCAUUAUAAAAAUAAUCUAAAGUAACCCUACAAUCUUUGUCUAAAUCACCCAUACACGUUCCUAUAAAAAAUAAUGUAAAAUAUCCUUCUCGAAGUGUUAGCUACUAGGGUAAUGUUUGAGCGAAUGUAACUACGGUGCCAAUCGAUCCAAGAAGAAAUUAGACAG
Molecule: long non-coding RNA, 334 nt
Filed under: Setaria viridis
Lineage: Eukaryota; Viridiplantae; Streptophyta; Magnoliopsida; Poales; Poaceae
Description: long non-coding RNA (SVIR_LNC005444)
Source: RNAcentral